GUCAGACACUUCACUCAUCUUGACAUUUGCAGAAGGCUUCAAAGGAAUCCAUUUUUGUGGGACAAUGCCCCUUCAGAGGAUCUUCAGAGUAAGAACUUAAGAGUGAUGAAUCAUAGAAGAAACAGUAACACUAUUUUAGCUCUAGUGAAACCUUCUGUUCACUUAUAAGCCAAGAAGAUAAAGAGGACUGAAUUUCAAAAAUAAGAUAUCUCCUCAAAUGGCGUCACCAACCUCUGUUGGUGAACUAUCUUUCCCAGCUACUCAGGAAGCUAAGGUGGGAGGAUCACUUGAGCCUAGGAGUUCAAGACCAGACUAGGUAACAUAACGAACCUCAACUCUAAACAACAAAAAAGGGACAUGGAUUAAUCUGGAAACCACAAUUCUCAGCAAACUGACACAAGAACGGAAAAUAAAACACUGCAUGUUC
This 427-nucleotide long non-coding RNA is filed under the name Callithrix jacchus (white-tufted-ear marmoset). RNAcentral's name for it is "lncRNA (ENSCJAG00000054753.2)". Lineage: Eukaryota; Metazoa; Chordata; Mammalia; Primates; Cebidae. The record is from RNAcentral.